GAGGGGAGGAUCAAUCCAACAAGAACUGCUAAUUCUCGCCCCUGAGCCUAGAAACCUCAGUCCCCUUA
RNAcentral lists this transfer RNA (68 nucleotides) under Porphyrio mantelli (North Island takahe). RNAcentral's name for it is "tRNA-Ser". RNAcentral also lists the same sequence under 1 other name. Lineage: Eukaryota; Metazoa; Chordata; Aves; Gruiformes; Rallidae. The record is from RNAcentral.